RNAcentral lists this transfer RNA (77 nucleotides) under Chloroflexota bacterium. RNAcentral describes it as "tRNA-Glu". It matches the Rfam family "tRNA". Rfam says of the family: Transfer RNA (tRNA) molecules are approximately 80 nucleotides in length. Lineage: Bacteria; Bacillati; Chloroflexota. The record is from RNAcentral.
GGCGCGUUCGUCUAGUGGCCUAGGACGCCGCCCUUUCAAGGCGGAGAUCAGGGGUUCGAACCCCCUACGCGCUACCA